AUCCUCGGCCAUACCACCCUGAAUGCCCCGAUCUCGUCUGAUCUCGGAAGCUAAGCAGGGUCGGGCCUGGUUAUUACUUGGAUAGGAGACCGCCUGGGAAUACCGGGCGGUUUAGGCUU
Ribosomal RNA from Papio anubis (olive baboon), 119 nucleotides. NCBI's taxonomy places the organism in Eukaryota, Metazoa, Chordata, Mammalia, Primates, Cercopithecidae. The record is from Ensembl.